RNAcentral lists this long non-coding RNA (152 nucleotides) under Lynx pardinus (Iberian lynx). The record is from RNAcentral. Lineage: Eukaryota; Metazoa; Chordata; Mammalia; Carnivora; Felidae.
GGCUGGAGAUUUCUCAUUCUCUGAGGAAUAUGUUGGGUACAGACACCAUGGGUCUCCUUGUUAUGCUAGAAACCGGCAAUUGUUUGCACGAAAGAAGCUACCACCCAGUAAUGAGGUGCAGGCGGAAUUAGGCUCAGUGAAGGCUUUUGUGU